ACGGGACUGGAAUUCCUUUCCUAUCCUUCUGGAGAAUCCUUCCCCACCCCCAAUCCAAUCCGAGUUCUUCAGGGGAUCAGGAAGAGCGAUGAACUUUUCCACCUGAUCUCCCGCCGCGGAUUCCCAGACAUUCCUCAGGCACGCUCACGGCUCCCUCAGCCACCAGCAUUUCUGUCCUUUCCCUUACACGGGGGGAAACCCUGAGCCUUUCCAGCAUCCACGGCUGUGUCUGCAAGGGUUAAACCAGGGAAUGGAGCAGUGCCCUUUCUGUUGGGGACACGCCACCUGAACGCGAAAUCAAACCUACUCACCGGGUGAAACUGCAGGAGGCGAAGCGGCUGUGAGCAAAACGCAUCCCGGCUCCAAGCACAUAGUCCAUGAUCUGCGGCUUCAGGCUAGAGCAGGGCUGAGCAGGGCGGGGGGACUUGGGGAACCAGCAGCAGUUCUGUGUGUGAAACAACCCAUUUACACCGUGCGUGUCUGCCUGUGUGUGUGUGUGUGUAGGGCAGAGAGAGGCUCCAGACCCAAAACGGGGAAAGGAGGGGAGGAGGGAGGGAGGAGAGAGAAGGAGGAGGAGAGAGGGAAGCAAACCCGAAUAGCGAGAGGGGUUGCGGAGAGGAAUGGGAUUCGCUGGGGUUGAGGUGGGUUUUUUUUGGUGGUGAUGGAAGCGAUUCUCGAGGAAAGAAUAAUAAACUGCGGGAUCUCAGCAGCAGGUAGGAGGAGAGGGGCUUUGCCCAGGCAGCCCGGCUGCCAGGGGGUCUCUCCCCGCAUCCCCCACCCCCGGCCGGGGCCGCUGUCCGUCCGUGCCCGGCAGGGAAGGGCUGCAGAUCCUGGAGCGGGGAACAGGCUUUGGGAGCGGCACGGGGAGGCGACACCGCGGCGAGGAACCUCUGUGGAGGAGGGAGGGUGGGCGGACGUCCCCCUGCUCAUCACCCGUGCCCCUCUCCUGCCCUGGGUAAGAGGAGCAUCUCCCCUUCAUCCCCCUCUUCAUCCUCCCCCCCUUCCUUCUCGGCGCUUCCAGGUUCUCUGUAUGGAAAUCACGAGCUGGCUCGGUGGAAAAAUCUCCCAUUUCUUCGCGUAGUGCCUCUGGAAUGUGUGCGGAAUCUCAAGGUGUGUGGGGGAGAGGGAGGCAGUGCCAGCAUUUAUGGAGCUUGGUGUGUGUCCCCCCCUACCCCUAGUCCCUCUCCUCCAUCCGUGCUGUGAGCAGACACGCGUUCAUGGCUAAUAAAAACGCUUUUCCCUGAGUAUAAUUGGGCUGAGAGCUAAACCACGGAAGCCAGUCCGUGUCCGGGAACAGCCUGCAGAUCAACGAGGAGCUUUGGCAUCCCUGCAGUGUAGCCUGGCUGCGUUCAUCUCAUGCUUCCCAGGAUCAAUAAGCAGACUGACCAUACCGAUUAUGUGAUGUGUACGUUGGGCAGUAUGGAGUGAUCGCAGCAUUACACCAGCACUUGUCUGCUGUGCUACAUGUGGUCUUCAAAAAGAGAUGGUAAUUUCUGUGGAGCUUUUUGAUCAAGAAAGUUUUUGUCUUCUCUCCAUUACCCCUGUAAGCACCAGUUCAUGUCCGUUUGCCAGUCUGGCAGUUUUAUGUUUCCAGAAUCUAUGGUGAAAUAUUCGGAAACCGCAGAAACCCAAGAUUCCUCUGGCAUCACAUGGGUUUGUUCCUGUCAGCAUGUUUAAUCUUUUUUAUGCUAAAUGAGCGGAUCUUAGUAAUGAUUUGCCCUGCUUGGGGUUUUAUUGACUUUUUCAUUAGCAAGGAGGCAAGAAAAGGAUUGAAGGAAGGAUGUUACAGUUUGUGAAAAAAAUGCAGUGUCCAUUUCAAGUGUAGUAGCUGUUAAAUAUGUAGGCAUAUGUAUGCUGCCUUAUGUAGUUAUAAAAAUGAAAGACAUGCCAUCUUGCCUCUUUGCCUCAGAAUAUGAUUUCUCUCACAGCAACAAGUAGCACAGGCUCUUCUCUCCCCUUUUCUCCUCCCCUUCAGCCCCUCCUGACAAAAUGCCAGUUAUAAAGGUCAGCCUGUUUAUGUAAAGCCCGUGUGUUUCUUAACAAAGACUGCUGCACAUCAAGCCUGCAACGACUAUCAAAUAGACUUGGGAUUCAAGACACUCAACAAGAGCACUGUCCAUUUUCUAGGACUGAUAAAAUCCCAGGCAAAACAGGAGACAAAGAGCCGCGGUGUGUGACUGGGGUAGGUCACCAGCGCCAGGGUGCACACGGGCAGCAGUGUCUUCAUAGCAGUGUUUGGUGCUGCAAAUGUUGGCAAGAUCCAUUGGAGCUGUGUUUCUUCCUAUCUCUAAUGAUGUCCUUAGGCUGAACUUGCUUUGCAGCUCCUUCACACCAAGGGCAGCUUAAAUCAGCCAAGGAGAAUUUUGAGUCUGACCAACCCCACCCUCCCGAUAAAAGAGAAGAGAUCGACUUCAUUAGUCUUUGGCUUUGCAAUGAGGUGUUUUCAUUUAAUAGCAUCCAGAGGUGCAGUGGACAUAGUCUGAUCUUUAUUUCACUGUGCUCCCUUUCCCUCCCUGCCACCUUCUUUCACCUGAAGAGCAGUACAACUUGGUUUCCUCAACUAAUAUAACCUCUGUUGGUCCUUUUCCACUUUAAAUCUAAUAAGAAUAUUCUGAUAUUAUUCUCUUCAUAGAAUCACAGAAUGGUUUGGUUAGAAGGCACCUUAAAGAUCAUCGUGUUCCAACCCCCUACCACAAGCAGGGACACCUUCCACUAGACCAGGUUGCUUUUAUUAACCUAAAGAUUAAAACAAUUUACUUUAUAAUUACAACACAGAUCUGCAACAGUGGUCAACUCCAAGACCUAAUUGCCACCACAGUUCACUUUUGGCCCUUAAAAUCACCCUGAAGCAGAGCUAAAGGGUUGUAGAGGACUAUGAUGCUUUUUGUUCAAUGGUGUUAAUAAUCUAUGGCCUUAGAAUAUGAUCUUACAAAGUCUCAUCCUAGGGCAGAAUAAUGAAUAAUGAAAUCACAAGCAAUGGAACGGGGCAGAAACUUAUAUCACUCCCCAAAAUGCUAAAUGCAAACUGGGACCCAGUCUGAACUGAGGAGCUGCGCAGGAUGAUGUGAGAGGGGAGGGGCACUCCAAGUCCUCCCAUCCUAAAAGCCUUGCGGCCCUGAAUUACAGGUCAUUAGAUUCCUUUGUCCCGUAAAUCUGCAUUAAAUAGCAGCGUGAUUCUGUGUUGGUAAACGCAAGUUUUAACAGCUUAUCCCAUAAUAUUUUAAUUUUUCUUUACUUCGUAUAUUCAGCCUUUUCACCCUUUUUCUCCCAGGACCUGCUUAAGCUUCUCUUUAGCUCCCAAAAAAUGUAUGUAAUUUGUUAAGCCAGUUCAGCAGUUACUCUCAGUUUCCAACAGACAAACCUAUUAUGCAAACAAUACUGUCACCUUCUCCCGGCUGUAAUGAAUUCUCUGCAUGCUACUCUGCUGUAAAUUCUCCAUCUAAAAAUUCCACGCACUACAUGUUUUGUCAGGGGAAACUGUACUUGACUUUUGAAACAGUUGGGAGGAACAAAAUGAUAACCUACUAAAGUGCCUUGCCCUUAACUGGAAUUAUGGCAAGUAAUUAAAGUUAGAGCAAAAAGACUUAAACUUUGGACUGCUUAUGUUCUCAGUGUUUUUGCUCGGAUGAGGGUUUUUUUUUAGAUGUCUGAUUUGAAUGUCAAAUUUGCAUAUUCAUCUAGAAAACAUAGGGAAUGCUUAAUUGCCUGUGUCCAGUGUUCAUAUUUUUCUUGGGAAACAAUGUUUCAUAUACUCGUGGUUUUUGUUUCUAGUUAUUAUUGCAUCCAUAAAUUGGACUGGGUGUCUAAACAAGUCCUGUAUUUGCUCAUUAUACAAACAAAUAUGCCA
Long non-coding RNA from Neopelma chrysocephalum (saffron-crested tyrant-manakin), 3847 nucleotides. RefSeq lists it as uncharacterized. Lineage: Eukaryota; Metazoa; Chordata; Aves; Passeriformes; Pipridae. The record is from RefSeq and is a predicted model, not a curated record. The transcript has 4 exons.